RNAcentral lists this ribosomal RNA (546 nucleotides) under uncultured Glomus. RNAcentral's name for it is "SSU rRNA". It matches the Rfam family "Eukaryotic small subunit ribosomal RNA", at positions 548 to 1098 of the family's 1831-position model. The record is from RNAcentral. Lineage: Eukaryota; Fungi; Glomeromycota; Glomeromycetes; Glomerales; Glomeraceae.
UUGGAGGGCAAGUCUGGUGCCAGCAGCCGCGGUAAUUCCAGCUCCAAUAGCGUAUAUUAAAGUUGUUGCAGUUAAAAAGCUCGUAGUUGAAUUUCGGGAUCAAUUUGUCGGUCGUGCCUCGGUACGUACUGGCAUUAUUGGUUUCUACCUUCUGAAGAACCUUGAUGUCAUUAAUUUGGUGUCUUGGGGAAUCAGGACUGUUACUUUGAAAAAAUUAGAGUGUUUAAAACAGGCAUACGCUUGAAUACAUUAGCAUGGAAUAAUGAAAUAGGACGUUUGAUUCUAUUUUGUUGGUUUCUAGGAUCGACGUAAUGAUUAAUAGGGAUAGUUGGGGGCAUUAGUAUUCAAUUGUCAGAGGUGAAAUUCUUGGAUUUAUUGAAGACUAACUACUGCGAAAGCAUUUGCCAAGGAUGUUUUCAUUAAUCAAGAACGAAAGUUAGGGGAUCGAAGACGAUCAGAUACCGUCGUAGUCUUAACCAUAAACUAUGCCGACUAGGGAUCGGAUGAUGUUAUUUUUAAUGACUCAUUCGGCGCCUUACGGGAAAC